Molecule: long non-coding RNA, 4156 nt
Organism: Triplophysa dalaica
Lineage: Eukaryota; Metazoa; Chordata; Actinopteri; Cypriniformes; Nemacheilidae
Exons: 4
Source: RefSeq, a predicted model, not a curated record
AGAGGGAUGUUUUGAUUUUUAUGAACUGUUUAUCCUGCAGAUGACGAUCCUCUGUACAGCAUCAGCACCAAUCAAACUUAGAUAAAGACCAGAAAUGACCAGCAAGCCACCUGUAUUGUUUUUGUGUGAUCCUCAGAAUCCAUAAGGAUAUCAGGAAGACAGUGGACCUCUGUCAGAAAGUGGAGGCAGCAGGUGUGUCGUGGAUUACGGUUCACGGUCGUACAGCUGAUGAGAGGCACCAGGCCGUUCACUACGAUGCCAUUAAGUCCAUCAAGAGCAGCCUGUCCAUCCCCGUCAUCGCCAACGGAGACAUCAAGAACAUGCAGGACGUUGAGUCCACCCGUGACCUCACAGGCGUGGAUGGUGUGAUGGCUGCCCGUGGGUUGCUGGCCAAUCCUGCCAUGUUCGCAGGGUUUGAGGAGACCCCGCUUCAGUGUGUUUGGGACUGGGUAGACGUUGCUUAAAUAAACCAGUGCUGUUUAUGAUUAAUAUGUAUACACUGUUAUGUCUAGACAAAUUGGUAUGCAGCAUUUGUAGUGCCUUUAAAAUACUUAAUCAAUUCAUCCGGCAUGACCAUCUUGUCUCUAAAGCCAGUGUAUUGUAGGUGUAUGGCUUUGAAAAUGUAUGUAUUUAGUAAGUGCUUUUAUCCAAUAGUUCGUGUUUACAUUUAAUAAAUUAGCAGACGCUAUAAGCAAAAUGACUUUAAAAGAGCCUUUAAAGGGAUAGUUCAUACCCAAAAUGAAAAUUAAGGUCAUCAUUUACUUAUCCUUAGAUUGUUUCAUAAUUGUAUAAAUUACUUUGUUCUGAUGAACACAGAGAAAGAUAUUUGGAAGAAUGUUAGCAGUUUACAGUUGAGGAACAUCAUUGACUACCAUGGUAGGAAAAAUUAAAUGGUAGUCAAAGGUACCCAAGAACCCCAGUUUGUUUUCCUAAAUUAAUGGAAAUGUCAAAUUUUCUGUGCAACAAAACAGAAAAAUACACAAUCAUUUUUUUCUACUAUGGUAGUGAAUGAUUUCCCCGAACUAAAAAUUGCUGACAUUCUUCCAAAUAUAUUUCUCGGUGAUCUACAGAACAUAGAAAUUUAGGUUUGAAACAACCUGAGUGUGAGUAAAGUAUGAUAGGAUUUUCCAUUUUGGGUGAAGUGUCCCUUUAACAUUAUAUCUGAAGUGAUUUGUAAGUGAUAUUCCAAAAACCAGAGGCUCGUGGGUUUAAGUCUCUGGUAAUAGUCAUAUGACUUAGAAGGGAAAACAGUUAUUAAGAUUUAAUGUAUCUGUUAAUAUUCUCUGGGAACUCGGGGUGGAGACGCACUCCAACAUCUCCCCGUUUUUUCAGUUCCACUCCUGCCUUCACUUGUGGGACAUCUAUCCUGCCCUGAUUGGUCGAUUGUCAGCGUUCUUACCUCUGAUUCAAUGCUGGUGUGUGUCGGUUUGGUCUCUCUGCCCCUUUUUGGGACAUAAGUCUGAUCUUUUGGAUCCAGAUAUUCUGGUAUUCACGCCAUCCGGCCUUCAUGUGCAGGUCAGCCUGGCCUCGUAGCCACAAAGAAAGGCUGAAUUAAAUGUGGUGGUACUUCAGCAGGUAGUAGUAUAUUCUCAUAUGUUUGUAUGAAUCUAGUCAAUGUAGUCUAGCCCCUAUAUGAUGUAAGACACAUGUUGGCAGAAACAUUUUGGACAUUUCAUAAAAAUUUACCCUGGAAGUUGGAAAAUCCAACUGCAGUUCAUGGUGGUGUAAUUGUUUGGUGGUAUGGAAGGUUUGGUGGUCCAAAAAAUUAGGCUGGAGUUGAUUAUAUACGUUUCUCAGACAUAAAGUAUAGACCUAUAUAAUUAGUUUUUCACAGUAUAUAAGCAUUGUUGCAAACAUCUACUGGGAGGCUGUAAGUUACCAGAAGUUUUUGUAGCCUGCAGUGACCAGUGGUCUGGUGGUAAUGUGCUCUUAUCCCUGGCUUUGUAGCUCAGGGUUCAAAUCCAGCUUUGGGUGAUCUCUCACAUCUCUUAUGUGGUCCAGGUAUGUGUAAAAAAAGAUAAAAUUACCAGGAGAUUUGAUUCUGACAUGCAGAGUCCUGUGGCUGAGGGGUAAGAAUCACUGGGUUUGGAUUUGGUAGUUGUGGUUUCAAGGCUUACUUUGUGUUAUUGCUCACAUUUCAUGUGUUUCAGGUUUCAAUAACAAGGAUAAAAUUACCAGGAGGACUCCUUCAGUCAUGCAGUGCCCAAUGGCUCAGUGUUAAGGAACACUACUCUAAGAUCAAGAGGUCUGGGGUUUGAGACCAGAUAUAGACCUGCAUCUGAAGGCUGGGUUCACUAAGAGUGGAGGAGAUGACCAUUGGUGGCGGAGGAGACGACCAGCGGUGGCGGAGGAGACGACCAGCGGUGGCGGAGGAGACGACCAGCGGUGGCGGAGGAGACGACCAGCGGUGGCGGAGGAGACGACCAGCGGUGGCGGAGGAGACGACCAGCGGUGGCGGAGGAGACGACCAGCGGUGGCGGAGGAGACGACCAGCGGUGGCGGAGGAGACGACCAGCGGUGGCGGAGGAGACGACCAGCGGAAAAUGCACUCCAUAAAUUGGGGCUGGGAUUUGGUUCCUUGUUCCUGCUUGAUCUGUUUCCUGUGGUGAUUCCAGUCAUGCGCUGCCUUUGAACCCUAGACCUUCUGAUCUAGUUCCAGUGCUCUUCCAACUGAGCCAUUGGGUCCUUCACAUAUGUGACAGUUCUCCGGGCGUAUUUAUCUUUUUUUUAAACAAGUUGCGCAUAAGAGAUGUGAUUGAACAUUUUGAGUGUCUGAGCCAAGGAUUGAACCUGUUAUCACUUGGUUAAGUCUCAGAACUUGUACCCCUCAGCCACUGGGCCCUGAAUGUUAUACACAGUUCUCCGGGCGUAUUUAUCUUUUUUUUUAAACGAGAUGCGCACAAGAGAUGCGAUUGAACAAUUAAAGUGUCAGUGACCAGCCUUGAACCCUUGACUUCAUGUUCUCAUUGUAAGUGCUCAUCCUCCAGAGCCACCGUGCAAGGGACGCUUGUAACAGUUCUCCAUGCGGAUAUAUCUGUUAUUCUUUAAACCAAGACUGAACAGGAGAGACAUAAAGUGUCAGAGCCUGGGAUUUAACUCAAGACCAUUUGCACUAGUGUCAGCGCUCAUAUCGCUGAGCCAUUGAGCCGAACUCAAUUGUGUAGUUCUGAUUUAACUGAACUGACUUUUUAAGAUGAGGUCUUAAAAACUGCUGGAUUUGUCUAAUGCAAUGUCAAGGCUUAAAACAGUGAGAUUUGAACCAAGACCAUUUAAACCCUGAGUUGUUGAGUUUGCAAAGGUUUGAUAUGAUUUUCUCUGGGUUCUUUGUUUUCUGUGUAUUUUCUGUAGAGUUUUGAAUGAGAUUUAAAGACUUUCAGGUAAGAAAGGCAAGUUUAACCCCCUGAGCCAAUGUGUUUUUAGUAUGUGUUUGAAAGUCAAAGAACCCAGAACAAAUCCAAAGUUUUAUAUUUAGAAAACAGAACAUCCAACCCCUAAACCAUCAAACUCAAUACUUGGGUAAUGUUUUUUUUAAGUAAUGGUGCGUAAAAGCAGUGUGAUAUCAACCAAGAUGUUUAAGAAAAGGAAUGAAGCUGUCAAACUCUGAAUCAAUGAAUUUGUGAUAACUGAUAUGGUUGUUGAUAUUCAAAUAAGACUUUCAAGUUCAAGCCCAGUGAAUUUGCACUAGAUCAACAUGGAUUAUGGGUAUUUAUAUGACAGUUUUUUACUUUAAAGCAUAAAAAUAAAACACUAACCCUUUCUCCAAACAGGUAGUGGUCUAGGUUUUGUUUAAACCAGUUACUUUGCAUUGGCACCUAUUGUAUUAUUGUUGCCUAAUCACUUUGUAAAUCGCUUUGGAUUAAAGUGUCUGCUUAAAUGACAAUUGACACAAAUCACCAUACAGGCCUGUUCAUAUAAUAAAUGUAAAGAUGAUGCGAUUUAACCCACACUUCAAAGUAUGAAAGACAAGCAUUCUUCCGAGAUGUUUAAUUAACACAACAUUUAGUUUGUGAUUUGUAUUCAAGUAUGAACAACCUCAGGAUGCAAGUAUAUACUUUUUUUCCCACCUUUAAAUCUGUCAGAAUGAAUAAUUUACUGGAACGAUUCAUAGAUUUUAUAGAAUUUUUUAACUUUAAUUUUUAAAAUCAGAGAAUAACAG